RNAcentral lists this unclassified non-coding RNA (207 nucleotides) under uncultured Macrolepiota. RNAcentral describes it as "sequence contains ITS2". Lineage: Eukaryota; Fungi; Basidiomycota; Agaricomycetes; Agaricales; Agaricaceae. The record is from RNAcentral.
AAUUCUCAACCCCUCACAGUUUUUUCUGUGAUUGGGGCUUGGAUUUGGAGUUUUUGCUGGCCCUUUAAAGGGGUCAGCUACUCUGAAAUGCAUUAGCGGAACCGUUUGCGAUCCGUCACAGGUGUGAUAAUUAUCUACGCCGUGUAAUCGCUCUCUGUCUGUUCAGCUGCUAAUCGUCCAGUCUUCAUGGACAAUCAUAUUGAAUAU